RNAcentral lists this ribosomal RNA (690 nucleotides) under uncultured bacterium. Its description in RNAcentral is "bacterial SSU rRNA". It matches the Rfam family "Bacterial small subunit ribosomal RNA", at positions 744 to 1435 of the family's 1533-position model. The record is from RNAcentral.
CAUUAAGAGAGAGAGAAAGAGUAGAUUGCAAACAGGAAGUGAGUACGUGAUAGUCCACACAAAAAAAGAUGUCGACAGCCGAAAGGGUAACAAAACGAUUGUGGGGGGCCUCGCGAUAAGUCUCACCGCCUGUGGGAGUACGGCCGCAAGUUUGAAGUCAAAAGAGUGGCGAGGAGCCGCACAAGCGGGGAGCAGGUGGUUUAAUUAGAUGCAGCGCGAAGAACCUUACCUACUCUUGACAUCCUGCGAAUUCGGUAGAGAUACCUUAGUGCCUUCGGGAACGCAGAGACAGGUGCUGCAUGGCUGUCGUCAGCUCGUGUUGUGAAAUGUUGGGUUAAGUCCCGUAACGAGCGCAACCCUUGUCCUUAUUUGCCAGCGCGUAAUGGCGGGAACUCUAAGGAGACUGCCGGUGACAAACCGGAGGAAGGUGGGGACGACGUCAAGUCAUCAUGGCCCUUACGAGUAGGGCUACACACGUGCUACAAUGGUCGGUACAAAGGGUUGCGAGCUCGCGAGAGUCAGCCAAUCCCGAAAAGCCGAUCUCAGUCCGGAUCGGAGUCUGCAACUCGACUCCGUGAAGUCGGAAUCGCUAGUAAUCGUAGAUCAGAAUGCUACGGUGAAUACGUUCCCGGGCCUUGUACACACCGCCCGUCACACCAUGGGAGUGGACUGCACCAGAAGUGGUUAGCC